GAUACAGAUAUAGAUGUAUAGAUAUAUCACCAGGUGAAAUACAACAGAGAGCUAUAUUGAGAAUUUCCUUCAGGUCGGAGACUAGAACUUACAGUUUGAGAAAAUUUUGGUUAAUUUACUUAUUCAAUCAUGUUUAUUGAGUGGCUCUAUGUAUAUUGUACUAGGCCCUGAAGAUACUGUAGUAAACAAGACAGACAAGUUCUCUGUUCUCUUGAAGCUUAUAUUGUAGUGACAGUAAACAGAGUAAGCAAAUUAGAAAACAAGUUAACUUCAGGCAUUUUAGUGACAUGAGAACAACAAAAACAGCAGGGUGAUGUGAGGCAAUGGGAUAUGAGAAUGGCUGAGAGGCCUACUUUGGAGUAAGUCUGCGAGUGAAAUCACCUUUGAUGAGGUGAUGUUUGAGUUGAGACAGGAAUCACAGGAAGGAGCCAAUUAGUGAAGAUCUCAGGGCCAACCAUGCCAGGCAGAGGGAAUAAGAAGUGCAAAGGCCCUACGACAAACAAAUUCGGCAAGAAAAUUGGAUGUAUAUUUUGAAUAUGAAGAAAAAAUAAUGAGCAAAACUACUCUGGAUAAAUCUCUUCUAGAUAUAAUAUCAGACCCUGAUGCAGGAACUCCAGAAGAUAAAAUGAGGUUGUUUCUUAUCUAUUAUAUAAGCACACAGCAAGCACCUUCUGAGGCUGAUUUGGAGCAAUAUAAAAAAGCUUUAACUGAUGCAGGAUGCAACCUUAAUCCUUUACAAUAUAUCAAACAGUGGAAGGCUUUUACCAAGAUGGCCUCAGCUCCGGCCAGCUAUGGCAGCACUACCACUAAACCAAUGGG
This 819-nucleotide small RNA is filed under the name Pan troglodytes (chimpanzee). RNAcentral describes it as "processed transcript". Lineage: Eukaryota; Metazoa; Chordata; Mammalia; Primates; Hominidae. The record is from RNAcentral.